AAGAGAUUGGAGUGAUGAGGAGUAGAGAGGCAACAAUGAUGCCUAAGGUGGUACAAGUGGACAAUGUCAUAGCUGUGGCCUUUUAGUGUUAAAUUAAUUGCUUUGUUUUAAAUAGCAAUGGAAGUUCCAUGCAAGAGGGUGUUGUAUAAAUAGACUUGAUUUGUCCAAGUUUAGAGGUGGAUAGCUCAAAAUCCAAGUAGACACGUGGAGAAGGAUCAGGAUGAGGCGUUUCUCCCCUUGAAUGGAAUUUGUCUUGCAAUUUCCAUGGCUAACAAACACUCAUCAAUAGCUAUUGAUAUU
RNAcentral lists this unclassified non-coding RNA (300 nucleotides) under Hevea brasiliensis (rubber tree). The record is from RNAcentral. Lineage: Eukaryota; Viridiplantae; Streptophyta; Magnoliopsida; Malpighiales; Euphorbiaceae.